GGAAGGGAAUAAAAAGUAAAUAAAAGCUAUGAUACAGAUGGUAGAGGAAGAUGAUGAUGACAGGAGAGAGAUUAACAGAUGGACAUGAAUAUAAAGAACAAAAUGAGUAAGAAGCUAAAGAAGAAAAUAAAGGAAGUGUAGUAGCAGGUGCAUGUAGAGUAAGAAGCUAAAGAAGAAAAGAAAGGAAGUGUAGUAGCAGGUGCAUGUAGAGUAAGAAGCUAAAGAAGAAAAGAAAGGAAGUGUAGUAGCAGGUGCAUGUAGAGUAAGAAGCUAAAGAAGAAAAGAAAGGAAGUGUAGUAGCAGGUGCAUGUAGAGUAAGAAGCUAAAGAAGAAAAGAAAGGAAGUGUAGUAGCAGGUGCAUGUAGAGUAAGAAGCUAAAGAAGAAAAGAAAGGAAGUGUAGUAGCAGGUGCAUGUAGAGUAAGAAGCUAAAGAAGAAAAGAAAGGAAGUGUAGUAGCAGGUGCAUGUAGAGUAAGAAGCUAAAGAAGAAAAGAAAGGUGUAGUAGCAGGUGCAUGUAGAGUAAGAAGCUAAAGAAGAAAAGAAAGGAAGUGUAGCAGGUGCAUGUAGAGUAAGAAGCUAAAGAAGAAAAUAAAGGAAGUGUAGUAGCAGGUGCAUGUAGCUACAGAACAGUAGAACAAAGUUAAGUAGUUACAGGCCAGUGCCGUCAAAAGAGUGAUUUUCCUGUGUUUAUAUAUCUAUUUCCACACUAUAAGGCUGGAAUAAUACUGUUAAAUUGUGAAAAUUAUGAUAAUACCAUUUUAGUGUAGGAGCUGUUUGAAAAGAAAAUCAGCCUGUUUUGGUGGGUGGAGUUUUGGCCUGCAUGGUGACAUCACCAUGCGUUCAAUUCGUUGAUCGACCAAUAAGAAAGAGUUCCAAAUCUCUCUGCCAAUAACAGCUCGUUUUCAGUUUCCACCUCCCCACUCAGACCACUCCCAGACAGUCCUAGCAAAAUUCUUGCUUGAGAAAUUGCUCUUUGCUAAGAAUGUAUUUUUUGUUUAUUUUGGGACAUUUCAACUGAAAACAAAUCACAGUAACGUACCUAAUUAUUACCCAGAAAUGAUUUGAUAUUUAAAUAAAAACAGAGGCCUUUAAAACUCUUGAAUAUCUGAACUUGGUAAAGAGAAAAACAGGAUGAGAGAAAGGAGGUUAUGAACAAGACAAACUAUUUUUUAUAGCAUCAGAAAAAAGUUAUUUUUCUUACAGUCACUUCUCUAAAAAAACAAAAGGGAAUUGAGCACAAGGCAGAUAAGUCAUUCUCCCUCCCAACAACAUCCAAUUAUAUUUAGGGACUUCUCAUCGUAUAUAAUAUAUAUUUAUGCAUCUAUUUAUAUAUAUAUAUAUAUGUAUAAUCUGUGGCGU
This is a long non-coding RNA of Oncorhynchus keta (chum salmon), 1359 nucleotides long. RefSeq lists it as uncharacterized. The transcript has 4 exons. NCBI's taxonomy places the organism in Eukaryota, Metazoa, Chordata, Actinopteri, Salmoniformes, Salmonidae. The record is from RefSeq and is a predicted model, not a curated record.